UAAAGUAUUUAAAUAGAAAUAAUUUUAAAAUUUAUAGGGAAAUAGUAUUGUAAAAGAAUUUUGAAAUAAGUGAAAAUAAAAUUGGUAAAAAGUAAUUUUUAUUUAGUGUAUCUUGUGUAUCAGAGUUUAUUAAAAAAUAUUUUUUGAAAAAAAAUUCUCGAAUUUAAGAGAGAUAAUUAAUUAUUAAAGUUAUUGUAAUAUAAAUAUUUUAAAUAAUUAAUUGGAAAUGAAAUGUUAAAUCGUUCUUAAAUAUAUCUAGUUUUUUUAGAAAAAAAUUUAAUUUUAAAUUAAUAGUUUAAUUUUAUUUAUAAAUUAAUUUAUAAAUAAAAUUAUUAAUUUUAUAUAUUAAGGGAUAAUCUUUAAUUUAAAUAAAUAUAAUUUAAAUUUUUUUUAUUGAAAAUUAUAUAAUUUAUAUUGUUAAUAAAAUUUAAUUUAUUAUAAAUAAUUUCAUUCAAAAUAAAAUUUAAUUAAAAAUUUAUUUUUAUAUAAAAAAAUAAUUUAAAAUUUAAUAAAAUUAGAUAUAAUGAUAAAAUUAGUAUAUAAAUUAAAUAUAUAAUAUAAAUUUAUUAUUUAAAUUAAUUGAAAGGAAUUCGGCAAAAAUUUAUAUUCACUUGUUUAACAAAAACAUGUCUUUUUGAAAAUAAUAUAAAGUCUAAUCUGCCCACUGAUUUAUAAUAAUUGAAGGGCUGCAGUAUUUUGACUGUACAAAGGUAGCAUAAUCAUUAGUCAUUUAAUUGGUGACUUGUAUGAAGGAUUGGAUGAAAUAUAGACUGUCUCUUAAUUAAUGUGUAGAAUUUAAUUUUUUAAUUAAAAAGUUAAAAUAAUUUAAAAAGACGAGAAGACCCUAUAGAGUUUUAUAGUUGAUUUUAUUUUAAAUUAUUUAUAAAAUUUAUUAAUUUAAAUUUUUUUUAAUUAUUUUAUUGGGGUGAUAGAAAAAUAAGAAAAACUUUUUUUAAUAAUAAACAUAAAUAAGUGAGAAAAUGAUCCAAUUUUAUUGAUUAUAAGAAAAAAUUACCUUAGGGAUAACAGCGUAAUUUUUUUUUUUAGUUCAAAUAAGAAAAAGAGUUUGCGACCUCGAUGUUGGAUUAAGGUAAAAUUUAAAUGCAGAAGUUUAAAAUUUUGAUCUGUUCGAUCAUUAAAACCUUACAUGAUCUGAGUUCAAACCGGUGUAAGCCAGGUUGGUUUCUAUCUUUUAAUAAAUGAAAUAUUUUAGUACGAAAGGAUUAAAUAUUUAAAUUAAAUUUAAUUAUUAGAAUAUCAUUAAAUAA
Molecule: ribosomal RNA, 1268 nt
Filed under: Hulodes caranea
Lineage: Eukaryota; Metazoa; Arthropoda; Insecta; Lepidoptera; Erebidae
Description: 16S ribosomal RNA
Source: RNAcentral